GUGAGUGACAAUGGCAGCUUCAGGCGGCCCGUGA
RNAcentral lists this non-coding RNA (34 nucleotides) under Mus musculus (house mouse). Lineage: Eukaryota; Metazoa; Chordata; Mammalia; Rodentia; Muridae. The record is from RNAcentral.